UUGAAAUCCUAUGGAUAAUUAAACUUAUUAGAUGCGGUUGUGGCGUCACUACAGAUAUUCUAUAUACUCGCCGAUUAUUUCAGUCCUGCCUAAGUAAGACUUUUGGAAACCAUGGCAAAAUAAUAAUCUUAACUAUCGAGGAGACAUUCCUCGUUAACCAACGAAGGAAAUCAACAACUUCAGAGAUACAGGAGUUAUAUUAUUUCUAUAAGAAAACGAAUUCAAUAUUACCAAUGAUUUGAAAAGUUUUUCAAAAGUUGCAAUAAUUACGAAGUUCAUUGGUCAAGGUGCAAGAAGUUGAUAAUAAUGGCUACAUUAACGUCACAUGAUUACAUGGUUGGACUUUUUAUUUUUAUGGUUAUAUCGUUAGGCUCAGGAUCUGAGUAUUUUUCAAUGGAAUGGUUAGAUAACGGGAAGAGAGGGGUAAAAUCGAACAACACUUUCAAAUAUUACAACACCGGAGUCCGCUUGGGAAUUAUUGAUCCCGAAAAAUACUCCCUGAAAUCAUUCAAACGACAUGAGAAAUACUUCAGAAAUACGCUCAAAACUUACAACAAAUUGAAAGGCGAUGAUCCUCUUACUUACGGAGAGUGGCUCUUAUUAAAUAACUACGGAAUAUUGCGCGAUACUCAGAUGUCAAUACUUGAAAAUAAAAAAAAAGCUUUGAGCAAAAGAACCAAUAAAAAACAAUUUGUUAAAACGGUCAGGAAAGGGGAUAUUUUGCUGACAAAUAAAAAAGGUACAGGUUUGGUUGGGCAUGUAGGAAUGAUGGCUACAAAUAAGUGUGCUAUAGAGAUGCCUGGUGGCAAAGGGUGGGCUUCAGGUAUAAAAGACAAUAAUAGGCGCCUAAGUGCAGGCGCUUGGUAUGACGAAUACAGUUCUACUUACACAAUGGUAUACAGGUGUCUUGGAAAGGGAGUAGCCAAUAAAGCAGGCGACUGGGCUUACCAUAACUACUACAAUCCGAAAGGGGGUCGAAAGAAGACUAUUCAUACAACUUACCGGAUAACGCCAGAUUUCAGUAAGAAGAACCCUAGCUAUUGCUCCAAGCUAGUGCUUCAGGCAUUUUACUUCACUGAGAGGCGUGUGGUAAUAGAUCAUGUAAUACGAUAUGGCCCAUUUAUAAUUCCAGCUAAAAUUACGAGUUAUUUCACUCCCCAUUGUGAGAUGUCAUAUGUGGGGAAAUUCUAGGUGCUGAAUAUUUUUGCAGACUAUAAUAUAAGAGCCAAGUUUUGUAUCUAAAAAUAUGUUAGUCAUUAAGGUAUAUAUGCAUAGGUCAAUUGAGCCUGAAAAUAAAUAAAGGUAUUUUAACCCUCAGCAAAAUAUACCUGCAUUGAUAAAAUCGGUUAAGAAUCACAUAUUUGAGUAACCUUAUUACCUUCAAAUGGUUCUCCAA
Long non-coding RNA from Helicoverpa armigera (cotton bollworm), 1396 nucleotides. RefSeq lists it as uncharacterized. The record is from RefSeq and is a predicted model, not a curated record. NCBI's taxonomy places the organism in Eukaryota, Metazoa, Arthropoda, Insecta, Lepidoptera, Noctuidae. The transcript has 3 exons.